RNAcentral lists this ribosomal RNA (330 nucleotides) under uncultured Pseudomonas sp. Its description in RNAcentral is "bacterial SSU rRNA". It matches the Rfam family "Bacterial small subunit ribosomal RNA", at positions 1051 to 1382 of the family's 1533-position model. Lineage: Bacteria; Pseudomonadati; Pseudomonadota; Gammaproteobacteria; Pseudomonadales; Pseudomonadaceae. The record is from RNAcentral.
GUCGUCAGCUCGUGUCGUGAGAUGUUGGGUUAAGUCCGUAACGAGCGCAACCCUUGCCUUAGUUACCAGCACGUUAUGUGGGCACUCUAAGGAGACUGCCGGUGGACAAACCGGAGGAAGGUGGGGAUGACGUCAAGUCAUCAUGGCCCUUACGGCCUGGGCUACACACGUGCUACAAUGGUCGGUACAAAGGGUUGCCAAGCCGCGAGGUGGAGCUAAUCCCAUAAAACCGAUCGUAGUCCGGAUCGCAGUCUGCAACUCGACUGCGUGAAGUCGGAAUCGCUAGUAAUCGUGAAUCAGAAUGUCACGGUGAAUACGUUCCCGGGCCUU